This 81-nucleotide transfer RNA is filed under the name Penicillium roqueforti FM164. RNAcentral describes it as "tRNA-Ser (TGA) (tRNA-Ser-TGA-1-1)". It matches the Rfam family "tRNA". From Rfam's summary of the family: Transfer RNA (tRNA) molecules are approximately 80 nucleotides in length. Their secondary structure includes four short double-helical elements and three loops (D, anti-codon, and T loops). Further hydrogen bonds mediate the characteristic L-shaped molecular structure. tRNAs have two regions of fundamental functional importance: the anti-codon, which is responsible for specific mRNA codon recognition, and the 3' end, to which the tRNAs corresponding amino acid is attached (by aminoacyl-tRNA synthetases). tRNAs cope with the degeneracy of the genetic code in two manners: having more than one tRNA (with a specific anti-codon) for a particular amino acid; and 'wobble' base-pairing, i.e. permitting non-standard base-pairing at the 3rd anti-codon position. The record is from RNAcentral. Lineage: Eukaryota; Fungi; Ascomycota; Eurotiomycetes; Eurotiales; Aspergillaceae.
GACAGUAUGGCCGAGUGGUUAAGGCGCUAGACUUGAAAUCUAGUUCUUUCGAGAUCCAGGGUUCAAAUCCCUGUGCUGUCG